This is a long non-coding RNA of Triticum dicoccoides, 1050 nucleotides long. RefSeq lists it as uncharacterized. The record is from RefSeq and is a predicted model, not a curated record. NCBI's taxonomy places the organism in Eukaryota, Viridiplantae, Streptophyta, Magnoliopsida, Poales, Poaceae. The transcript is spliced from 3 exons.
GGGAGGAGGUGGGGGCCGGCCGGCACCGGCACCGGGAACGAGGAGAAGGUGGGGGCCGAGCCACAACAAUCCCUCAAAAUCCCGUAAAAAAGAAACAAUCCCUAAAAAAAGGCAGCGCACAACAUCCUCUCGGUCUCUCCCCAUCUCGGCCGCUGACCAGGGAGGGGGGAGGGGGGGCACCACCGGCCACCAUAGCGACCUGCCCUCCGAGCAGCAGCCGCCGCCCGCCGGGAUCUGGCGUCGGCUUAAGUUGUCACUCGCCCUCGCGGUUCUUGCAUCGCGCAGCCAGGGGCCACCCCCCUGCCCUGCUCCCUCCCCCUAGCGAUCGGCGACGACUGCCUGUGCGGCCGCGCCGUUAUGUUGCCGGCCAACUGCCCUGCGUCUCUACUCCUCCAAGGCUCCAACACCCCUUCGCUGACCCCCUGCCUGCCGGGCUGCCGGACAGAAUUUUGCUGAGGCCAACCACAUCACAAACGGCACACAGGUGUCGAUGGAGGAACAGGUGGUAAUGUAAUUCUUGGUUUCUCAAGAUCUGUCUGGGAUUUCAGUAACUUGCAACAUCACACGGAGCUCACCUCGGCUGGUGCGACGGACAUGGCGAGUGGAGCGCAGAGGCAACGACGGCCGUAGCGCAGCGUCGCCGGGAGGACGGCCUUGAGGUGCUUUGCACCGCUGAGCCCGUCCCGGCUGCCGUCGUUUCCCCAACGUAUACAGGUUCUCUUCCACGACUGAUGAACGUGCCCACAAUGGAUCGGCCAGAGAGAGAAGAAAGAGACCUAUGCAGGGCGUCAAUGGGGUAGUGCGAGCAGCCUUGCUUUGAAGUGGCCAUUUAUAAUACUUCCCUUCCGCUGAACUCGGGAAUUUCUUCCUGCAUGUGACGCGCGGCCUUAACUGCCCUGCAAUCUCGGCGAUUACCUUCCCUACAUAGGGCAAUCGGAGCGAUUAUCUUCCCUACAUAAACAUGAUUGCUUCCAUCUGAUUUGUUUACUGAUCAGGAGCAAGAAAAUCGCCAGAGAUAUCACUCCGUUUUAUUGUAUCGUAUACCCUUGC